Long non-coding RNA from Lotus japonicus, 3090 nucleotides. RefSeq lists it as uncharacterized. The record is from RefSeq and is a predicted model, not a curated record. The transcript has 3 exons. Lineage: Eukaryota; Viridiplantae; Streptophyta; Magnoliopsida; Fabales; Fabaceae.
GGGGGGAAAGAGAAAGAGUUUGUAUUGUAACUACAUUUUUUAUGGUAUGAUAAAAAAUAAAAAGCUUCCAAACCUUAUUUAUAGUAAUACUGGACUCCCAGUUCUAAUCAAAUGCAAAAGCCAUGAUAAUACCAAGAAAUAUGGAAAGCCGAAAGCAGUUAUGAGAGAAAAUUUAAGAUACUUUUGUUGUAAGUAAUAAUUCAAAUGCUAAUCUAUAACUUACUAAUAGAGUUUUGCAUUUACUGUUCGUUAGGAUUUUUAGUUUACAGUUCAUCAAGAGCAUUUUGUUGUCCAGAACCCCUAUUCUUCAAGGCCUGAUACCAUAGCCCUGAUCCAGCUAUCCAGCUGCAAGCUGGAACACCUCUCACUGAUGAUGUUGUGUGUGCAUCUUCCCCUUUGCUCUGGUUCGCCUAUGGCGUAGAACCGCUAGGCCUUCGCAUCAAUCAUCUGGAUUAUCGAUGGAUUAGGCUUGAUAGGUGCCUCAAAGAUCAUCUGUUCUGGAUUCUUUCUGUAUUUGUGUGUAAAUUUCAAAUCCAUGGAACCAGCUGCAUUCACCCUUUUUAGCCACACCCUAGCUCAGAAAUCUUGCUUUGGAUUCUGCUUUACAGGUUGUUUGAUUUGAUACAAUCAAUAUCUUGAUGGCUUCUAGCUUUCCAUGCUCUGUGGCUCCAGUUGCAGGUAGAUGUUUAUUUAUAAACCUUUGGUUGUGUUGUUUCUCAUCAGUUGCUAGUUCAUUCAGGUGGGAUCUGAGACGGUGAGGCGGUCGGAGAAGUUGCAGAAGAGGACUAUAGCGGUGGUGAACCAUCUACGCCAUUUGCAAUUCAGCUGCUUAUUAUUGAUGCUGAGGCAAUUACUACUCCAGAUUUAUGAUUAUUUGUUGUUACAUGUUAAAAAAUCUUCAUGGUUACUGAUGAUAUUUCUCUAUCUCAUGCCGCUCGACUCUCCUUAUUACUGACUCUGGACGGCAGAGAUCCAUCAUCAGAUUUGCUCCGACUACUCCACACCGAGGUAUCAUCUAUCAAUUUUCGAAAAUAUACAGCUUCGGCUGUCACCUUUUGUCUAUAUAGGUCCUUCUGGAAGCUUUCUUCUUAAGAUCGUAGCUUAUCAAGUGCAUGGUUCGUCCAGUCGUACUUAUUUCAUUGUUAUUGGAUGGACUUCGCCAGAAAUGCUGCAAAAUUUCAGAAGAUUGGAAUGAGACCUUUUGAUGGGAUACCUUUACUCUAGGAAGAUUAUGACUUAUUCAUCUCCAAUUACUAAGAUUCAAUGUGUACCAUGAUUUGUAUCAUUUAACAUAUUGGUGUUGGAAAAUGUAUGAGUCCUUACUGCAAAGGAGCAAAAGAAUAGACCAGGUAAGCUGUUUGUCACAAAUAGCUUUGGUUAUGGACUGCGUUAGUUGACUUGAGUUUGUGCAUUUGGAUUCUGUUAGUAUUAGUAAACCUUCUAUAUAAGGUUGUGUAAUUCAUUCUGAUUUCAAUUGAAUAAGAACAAUCAUUCUCUCAUACCAUCUUCUCUGUUACUGGACUCCCAUUUCUAAUUAAAUGCAAAAGCUAUUCAUGAUAAUACAAAGAAAUAUGGAAAACAAUUCUGAGAGAAAAUUUAAGAUAAUUUUGUUGUAAGUAAUAAUUCAAAUGCUAAUAUGAUAAUAACUGUCAGUGGAUAGUUAGGACAGUUAUAAUAGCUAUAGUAGAUAGUUAGGACAGUUACAAUAAAACAGGUUAGUGUUGUUUAAACUUUAAAUGCUGCUUUGUUUCAGAUUCUUGUACUAACAGGUUAGUGUUGCAUUGACAGUUCAACACUAACCUUUUUUGAACAGUUCAAGACUUUUCUCCUUUUCUAGUAUUUUCCCUAUCCGAUCAUCUGGUGAGAACUUCCAAGGAACACAUUUUCCUUCUUUUACAUUUUGCUCGAAGCCCCAAUCUGCCAAGGCAUCCGCACUCUCAUUUUCACCUCUUGAAACACGCGUAAUCUCGUAGCUUUUAAAUUCCUUUGCUUUUGCACGGAUCUUCUUAAUCUGUGAACCCUUGGUGAUUUGUUAACAACCUUUGGACUCCCAUUAAGCACUUCCAUAAAAUUCUUAGAAUCUGUAUAGGCCUUCACUUCUAAACCAGCACAUGAAUUUCCUUUCUUUUUUUCUUUCCACCACUCCAUGCAUUGCAAUUAGGUUUGGCGUGCGGCAAUCGCCUCUGCUUUUGAGCUUCCACCCCAUGUAUGAAUUCGUUUUCUCCUAAUUUAAUGUAGAAUCCAAACAGAAAGUUUCCUCUGCUAUCCCGUAUAAUUCCAGCAGCGCAGCCUUUAUUCAAUUUCUUACAAUAGGUUGCAUCACUGUGGACAUAAACCACUGAUGAGCCAUCAUCAUCAGCCUUAGAAGCUGCUUCAUCUGUUGUUCCUGGUUGAGGAACGGUGUUAACUUCUGCUAGGUUCGGAUCCCCUCCCUGUGGCAUCAUUAACCAUUUAGAAAACAAAUCUUAACAUGAAAAAUCAGCACAUGAAAAACCAUGACACUUAAACUUAACAUGUUUCUCAAAAAUAAAAUCAUUACUAUUCUGCUUCUCGUGCAAAUUGCCACUGACAGAAAAUACAAGGAUACACUUUUUACCAUAGUUUUGGGGGUUAUGUGUAAGAAAAUGAAGUUGAUGUACCAUAGAGGGUUAGUGUAACCUUACCCUAAAAGUUGCAGAGUAUAUGAUUGCAUUUGAUGCACUCUAAAGGAUAGGACAAAUAGAGCAGCAGAUUACAAACAAUUGGAGAGCCUAGAACAUAUACUAUGCGGAAAACUAUGAAAAGAAACCAGUCCUUGAGUGGUUUCUAAGAAAGGUCCAGGUGCAUCUUCAACCGCCAAACGGAAGGAGAAGUGAAGAUGAUGAAGAACCAGAUUUUGAAGACAACUUUGAGGAUCAGGAAAGACAGAGGAAGAGAGAUAGACCUCAGGAUGGCAACGAAGUUGACUAUGUCAGGGUGGAAGAGGAGACAUUUAGAUUUCUACUUUGUAUUUUUCUUGUUUUCUAUCUUUUAUUGUUAUAAUGUUAGUUGAAACAUGAACUUGAUGGUUUUUACUUUCUAUUCAAUUUAUGAAACUUAUGGUGUUCUAUC